AUGGCCAUCUUUGAUGAGUUCUACGUUGGGUCCAUUGACCUCGGGCGCCUUAACUACGGGACGAUCUCGCUUAUCCCCAAGGUCCCUGGGGCGUCUGACAUCCGUCAGUUUCGCCCGAUCAUGGUGAUAAACGUGAUCUUCCGUAUUCUGGCGAAAGGGUACGCCAAUAGGGUGACCCUGCUCGCAGACCACAUUACCCACCCCAACCAAUCGGCCUUCAUCCAAGGUCGAUAUAUUCUGGAUGGGGUGCUAGUCCUCCACGAGGUUCUCCACGAGGUCCGCUCCAAACACCUGAAGGCGGUCUUCCUGAAGAUCGAUUUCCAUAAGGCCUAUGACACCGUUAGCUGGCCCUUCCUUCGGGAAGUUCUUCUACGGAAAGGCUUCGAUGACCGCAUGAUCUCCAGGGUGAUGCAGAUGGUCUCUGAUACAUCUCCAACGUAUCUAUAA
This 447-nucleotide ribosomal RNA is filed under the name Triticum aestivum (bread wheat). RNAcentral's name for it is "partial small subunit ribosomal RNA". Lineage: Eukaryota; Viridiplantae; Streptophyta; Magnoliopsida; Poales; Poaceae. The record is from RNAcentral.